This 427-nucleotide ribosomal RNA is filed under the name uncultured prokaryote. RNAcentral describes it as "bacterial SSU rRNA". It matches the Rfam family "Bacterial small subunit ribosomal RNA", at positions 355 to 796 of the family's 1533-position model. The record is from RNAcentral.
UGGGGAAUUUUCCGCAAUGGGCGCAAGCCUGACGGAGCAAUACCGCGUGAGGGAGGAAGGCUUUUGGGUUGUAAACCUCUUUUCUCAGGGAAGAAGCUCUGACGGUACCUGAGGAAUCAGCAUCGGCUAACUCCGUGCCAGCAGCCGCGGUAAUACGUAGGGUCCUAGCGUUAUCCGGAAUCAUUGGGCGUAAAGAGCUCGUAGGCGGCUCAGCAAGUCGGCUGUGAAAGUCCGAGGCUCAACCUCGGAAUUGCAGUCGAUACUGCUGUGACUUGAAUUCGGUAGAGGAGAAUGGAAUUCCCGGUGUAGCGGUGAAAUGCGCAGAUAUCGGGAGGAACACCAGUAGCGAAGGCGGUUCUCUGGGCCGAUAUUGACGCUGAGGAGCGAAAGCGUGGGGAGCAAACAGGAUUAGAUACCCCCGUAGUCC